RNAcentral lists this unclassified non-coding RNA (427 nucleotides) under Melaleuca velutina. The record is from RNAcentral. Lineage: Eukaryota; Viridiplantae; Streptophyta; Magnoliopsida; Myrtales; Myrtaceae.
CAUUUCCCUCAUUUUAUUUUAUUUUCUCAUUUCCACAGUCCUGUCCAUUCCGUACUAGCUAUUCAAGAGCCAACUACGUCAAGAGAGACAGACCCAACAACUAGUAAACACAAAAGUUCUUGGGCAAAUGCAUAAAUUUGGAAAAAAGCACAAAUUAAAGGUAAAAUAAGGGAUUUUUAAGUUCGAAAAUGACCUCAAAGGCCUUCGGCAUUUGGCCGCGUUGUCGGUCUCGGAACGAGCUUUCCGGAAAGUACUCGCGGCCCCCGUGAGUCCAUCGGGAUCGAAAGUUAUGCGCGUGAACGAAGAGACGCGCGGAUUCCGUGAAUUGCUCGGAAAUUGAGCGGCGUGUCCUUGAAAGCGGGAAGUGGAACACUCGAGACUUCCCUCGAGAAGAGACUUCAAGUAAAUUCGCAACGCAUAGGAUGAC